RNAcentral lists this ribosomal RNA (484 nucleotides) under uncultured bacterium. Its description in RNAcentral is "partial 16S ribosomal RNA". It matches the Rfam family "Bacterial small subunit ribosomal RNA", at positions 30 to 507 of the family's 1533-position model. The record is from RNAcentral.
AUUGAACGCUGGCGGCAGGCCUAACACAUGCAAGUCGAGCGGAUGAAGGGAGCUUGCUCCUGGAUUCAGCGGCGGACGGGUGAGUAAUGCCUAGGAAUCUGCCUGGUAGUGGGGGAUAACGUCCGGAAACGGGCGCUAAUACCGCAUACGUCCUGAGGGAGAAAGUGGGGGAUCUUCGGACCUCACGCUAUCAGAUGAGCCUAGGUCGGAUUAGCUAGUUGGUGGGGUAAAGGCCUACCAAGGCGACGAUCCGUAACUGGUCUGAGAGGAUGAUCAGUCACACUGGAACUGAAACACGGUCCAGACUCCUACGGGAGGCAGCAGUGGGGAAUAUUGGACAAUGGGCGAAAGCCCGAUCCAGCCAUGCCGCGUGUGUGAAGAAGGUCUUCGGAUUGUAAAGCACUUUAAGUUGGGAGGAAGGGCAGUAAGUUAAUACCUUGCUGUUUUGACGUUACCAACAGAAUAAGCACCGGCUAACUUCGUG